CGAAGAUGUAAAAUGUGCUGAUGGUCGCCAAUGCAUAUGGAAGCCUGCAGUAUGUAAUGAUUACAUUUCAUGUAACGAUGGCUCAGAUGAAAGCGCGACUACCUGUAAAGGGCGCCCUUGUGCAGGCACGAAGGUGAAUUGUGCAGAUCAGACUCAAUGUAUAUUUAUUUGGGAACAAUGUGAUGGGAAAACAGUUCAUUGUCGUGAUGGAUCUGAUUACCAAGAGAAUCUGUGUAGAAAUUACACAUGUACAUAUCCAGGUGCUGACUUAAAAUGUGCUGAUGAUUUACAAUGUUUUUCCUUUCUUCAUCUUUGUGAUGGGAAACGAGAUUGUAAUGAUGGAUCAGAUGAGACAUUUCAUGUCUGUAAAACCAGAAAUUGUGGAUGGAGAGAACGUUCCUGUGAUAAUGGGAACUGUGUUUACAUCCGUCAGUUUUGUGAUGGAAAGGAUGAUUGCGGAGAUAAUUCUGAUGAA
This is a long non-coding RNA of Mytilus trossulus (common blue mussel), 475 nucleotides long. RefSeq lists it as uncharacterized. NCBI's taxonomy places the organism in Eukaryota, Metazoa, Mollusca, Bivalvia, Mytilida, Mytilidae. The record is from RefSeq and is a predicted model, not a curated record. The transcript is spliced from 4 exons.